UACGUAGGGUGCAAGCGUUAAUCGGAAUUACUGGGCGUAAAGCGUGCGCAGGCGGUUAUGUAAGACAGAUGUGAAAUCCCCGGGCUCAACCUGUGAACUGCAUUUGUGACUGCAUAGCUAGAGUACGGUAGAGGGGGAUGGAAUUCCGCGUGUAGCAGUGAAAUGCGUAGAUAUGCGGAGGAACACCGAUGGCGAAGGCAAUCCCCUGGACCUGUACUGACGCUCAUGCACGAAAGCGUGGGGAGCAAACAGG
RNAcentral lists this ribosomal RNA (253 nucleotides) under uncultured bacterium. RNAcentral describes it as "partial 16S ribosomal RNA". It matches the Rfam family "Bacterial small subunit ribosomal RNA", at positions 524 to 776 of the family's 1533-position model. The record is from RNAcentral.